Molecule: ribosomal RNA, 216 nt
Filed under: Glomeromycotina sp.
Lineage: Eukaryota; Fungi; Glomeromycota
Description: partial small subunit ribosomal RNA
Rfam family: Eukaryotic small subunit ribosomal RNA (bases 40-216)
Source: RNAcentral
GGGUCAGUAGGUUGGUCGUGCCACCGGUACGUACUGGUCUCACUGAUUCCUCCUUCCUGAAGAACCGUAAUGCCGUUAAUUUGGUGUUGCGGGGAAACAGGACUGUUACUUUGAAAAAAUUAGAGUGUUUAAAGCAAGCUAACGCUUGAAUACAUUAACAUGGAAUAAUGAAAUAGGACGAUCGAUCCUAUUUUGUUGGUUUCUAGGAUUGACGUA